GCCCAGGUGGCGGAAUUGGUAGACGCGCUGGUUUCAGGUACCAGUGGUAGAGAUACCGUGGAGGUUCGAGUCCUCUCUUGGGCACCA
This 87-nucleotide transfer RNA is filed under the name Pseudomonadota bacterium. RNAcentral describes it as "tRNA-Leu". It matches the Rfam family "tRNA". Rfam says of the family: Transfer RNA (tRNA) molecules are approximately 80 nucleotides in length. Their secondary structure includes four short double-helical elements and three loops (D, anti-codon, and T loops). Further hydrogen bonds mediate the characteristic L-shaped molecular structure. tRNAs have two regions of fundamental functional importance: the anti-codon, which is responsible for specific mRNA codon recognition, and the 3' end, to which the tRNAs corresponding amino acid is attached (by aminoacyl-tRNA synthetases). tRNAs cope with the degeneracy of the genetic code in two manners: having more than one tRNA (with a specific anti-codon) for a particular amino acid; and 'wobble' base-pairing, i.e. permitting non-standard base-pairing at the 3rd anti-codon position. Lineage: Bacteria; Pseudomonadati; Pseudomonadota. The record is from RNAcentral.